GACGAACGCUGGCGGCGUGCUUAACACAUGCAAGUCGAACGGAAAGGCCCCUUCGGGGGUACUCGAGUGGCGAACAGGUGAGUAACACGUGAGUAACCUGCCCUUGACUUCGGGAUAACUUCAGGAAACUGGGGCUAAUACCGGAUAGGAAUCCUUGCUGCAUGGUGGGGGUUGGAAAGCUUCGGCGGUUUUGGAUGGACUCGCGGCUUAUCAGCUUGUUGGUGGGGUAGUGGCUUACCAAGGCUUUGACGGGUAGCCGGCCUGAGAGGGCGACCGGCCACAUUGGGACUGAGAUACGGCCCAGACUCCUACGGGAGGCAGCAGUGGGGAAUAUUGCACAAUGGGCGGAAGCCUGAUGCAGCAACGCCGCGUGCGGGAUGACGGCCUUCGGGUUGUAAACCGCUUUCAGCAGGGGCGAAGCUUGUGGUGACGGUACCUGCAGAAGAAGCACCGGCUAACU
RNAcentral lists this ribosomal RNA (460 nucleotides) under uncultured bacterium. RNAcentral's name for it is "partial 16S ribosomal RNA". It matches the Rfam family "Bacterial small subunit ribosomal RNA", at positions 28 to 502 of the family's 1533-position model. The record is from RNAcentral.